UGAGUAACACGUAUGCAAUCCACCUGUAACAGGGGGAUAACCCGGAGAAAUCCGGACUAAUACCUCAUAAUAUGGGCGCUCCGCAUGGAGAGCCCAUUAAAGAGAGCAAUUUUGGUUACAGACGAGCAUGCGCUCCAUUAGCCAGUUGGCGGGGUAACGGCCCACCAAAGCGACGAUGGAUAGGGGUUCUGAGAGGAAGGUCCCCCACAUUGGAACUGAGACACGGUCCAA
Molecule: ribosomal RNA, 231 nt
Filed under: uncultured bacterium
Lineage: Bacteria
Description: partial 16S ribosomal RNA
Rfam family: Bacterial small subunit ribosomal RNA
Source: RNAcentral